This 2106-nucleotide long non-coding RNA is filed under the name Homo sapiens (human). Its description in RNAcentral is "HSALNT0186585". The record is from RNAcentral. Lineage: Eukaryota; Metazoa; Chordata; Mammalia; Primates; Hominidae.
UGGCACCACUCUAUCCUCAUUCACCCUUAGUUAUGGCUGAGCCAUGCCAGGGAGACAGGGAGGUUCCCAUCAUCAGACAACAGGGCUUGAGCACACUGAUGGAGUAACAAAUAUUACAUCUUAGCAAUGCACACAACCAAGAAGAAGAGGACAUAAACCCUUUUACUAUCUUUUUCACUUUGGAUCUGAAAAUACAUUUUUCUAUAUAUGAUUUAAAGAUCCUAAACACUACCUAGCCCAGAGAAGGAAAUUUCCCUAAUUUUUAAAAAUCCUAAAUUCUUUUUAAUUUCUUUAUAAGGUUAUAUAUGACCUAAUCACCAUAAGUUCUACAAUACAAGCCCAAGCACACCAACUAAAUAAAGGCUGCAGAGAAUGGAAUCUCCUAUCAAAACAGGAACACUCGAUAUUAUAACUUAGUUUUAAUCUUAAAUCAACCAAAACACCCUGAACCUUCCAAUAAUACCUAUUAAAAGAAGCUACAUUAGCAAGUCUUUAGUUCAGCUAAAAGAUCAUUUUGUAUCACCCUGCUUUCCUCAUAACUAGUUUUUUUAAAAUGAUCAAUUCCUUUCAGGAUGUAGAUUUCCCCGCAACCCCCUUUCUUUAUCAUAAGAGAUAAGAAAAUUGUGUCAAAGCCAGAGAUUAUACUCAAGAAGACUUUUAGAACUGAGAAAAAUACAAAUAAAGUAAUCAGAACCCUAAGUUGGUAAUCCAGGCACGCUUAGAAUUAUAGGCACCAGAAGAAUGGAGCACUUUGAUCAUGUAUCUUUAGAAGUCUCAACUUGCUAUAGAAAGAAUUAUCUAACUCACUGGUAAACAGGCUCUUCUUCCCUGUAACCAUUUCACUCAUAUAUUCUUGGGGAUUGAAUUGCGUCCCCAAAAAAGAUAAGUCCCACCUCCCGGUAUUUCUGAAUGUGAGCUUAUUUGGAAAUAGGGCUUCUGCAGAUGUAAUCAAGUUAAAAUGAAGUCACUAGGGUGGACCCUAAUCCAAAAUGACAGGUGUUCUUACAGGAAGAGAAGAAACAGAGACAGACUCACAGGGAGAGCACAUGGGAUGACAGAGACAGAGAUAGGAGUGCAGAAGCAGCAAGCCAAGGAAGUUCUGGAUUGACAUUGAUGCCCCCACCAGAUGCCAGGGAGAGGCAAGGAGGGACUUUACCCAGAUCUCAGUGAGUGCAAGGCCCUGCUGACAGCUUGGUUUUGGACUUCUGGCCUCCAGAACUGUGAAACAGUACAUUCCUGUUGUUUUCAGUCACAUAGUUGGUGGCACUUUGUUAUAGCAGCCCUAGAAAAUGAAUAUACCUGCCUAAGAGAAAAUAACUUUGAAGGCAGAUUUAAAUUCUUCAUAAGUGAAUUGAUUAUACAUGGAUUAAGGCUUUACAAAUAUUAUACUAUCACCAACUAAAACUCUCAUUCAUUCUGACCUGAGGUCCACCACGGACAGCUCACCUUUCUGCUCCGACACCUGAAUGCUUGCAGUCUGACAGUCACAAUGCUCAACAGUUGACACGUAUUGUUCCACCUAAUCCUUACAGUAGCACUCUAAGAUAUGCAUUAUUUUCCCUGUUUUGCAGGUUUAAAAAAAAAUGAGGGUUGGAGAGGUUAAACAAGUAACUUGCCCCAGGUCAUAAAGCCAGUUUGCUUAUUGGCUGGGGCUCUGCUGGGCUCAACAGGAAUGCACUGGCAUCUGCUGGGAUUGACUGAACUUGGAUCCAAGCUGCGGGUCAGGUUCCAGUCUGCUGUGUCUCCUCCAUCUGGGGCUGCAGAAAAAGCCUCUCUCAAGGUGAGGAAACACCAAGAACGUGCCAUCUAUGAACCCUCACCAGACACUGAAUCUGCCAGAGCUUUGAUCUUGCAUUUCGCAGCCUCCAGAACUGUGAGAAACAAAUUUGUGUUAUUUAUAAGCCACCGGGCCUCGGGUAUUUUGUUAUAAUGGUCUGAACCAACUAAGAUACCAUAGAACAGUGUCCAUUGGGGUUUAUACCUUAUGAAACCAUGUCACAAUUUUUAAAGAUGUUUGAGGUGGAAGGCUCAGCUCAGUCAGUUAUCAAUGUCCCAGAAAACAGACAUGCAAAUGUAUGAAUCUCAGGUAGGCUAGCACAGGAGGGG